GAUGAACGCUGACAGAAUGCUUAACACAUGCAAGUCAACUUGAAUUUGGGUUUUUAACUUAGGUUUGGGUGGCGGACGGGUGAGUAACGCGUAAAGAACUUGCCUCACAGCUAGGGACAACAUUUGGAAACGAAUGCUAAUACCUAAUAUUAUGAUAAUAGGGCAUCCUAUAAUUAUGAAAGCUAUAAGCGCUGUGAGAGGGCUUUGCGUCCCAUUAGCUAGUUGGAGAGGUAACGGCUCGCCAAGGCGAUGAUGGGUAGCCGGCCUGAGAGGGUGAUCGGCCACAAGGGGACUGAGACACGGCCCUUACUCCUACGGGAGGCAGCAGUGGGGAAUAUUGGACAAUGGACCAAGAGUCUGAUCCAGCAAUUCUGUGUGCACGAUGAAGUUUUUCGGAAUGUAAAGUGCUUUCAGUUGGGAAGAAAGAAAUGACGGUACCAACAGAAGAAGUGACGGCUAAAUACGUG
Molecule: ribosomal RNA, 467 nt
Filed under: uncultured bacterium
Lineage: Bacteria
Description: partial 16S ribosomal RNA
Rfam family: Bacterial small subunit ribosomal RNA
Source: RNAcentral